AGAGGAGGGGAAGCCAGAAGACCUGGAUUACCCCCACCCCUGACCUCUGCCAACCUGGCUAUGGAAUUUUCAGCCAAGCCCUCAAGGUCUCCAGUGUCCUUUGACAUUUAGAUGAUCAUAACCCAAAUACUUAAAAGGUGUCAGAUGUGUACCAUGUUCUGAAGACUCUCCACCUUCUCCAGCACCCUCCCCCUUUGUCCUUCACAGGCAUUUCCUCCAAUCAAUCUUUCCUCUUCUGCUUCACAGAAGACCUGACAGACACAGACACCUCAUCUUUACAUCCUCCAUGCCUGGGACAUUGGCAGGGAUUCUGCAGCAGUGAUCAAGAGCACAGACACAAAUCAUAGCCUAGAGACUUGUUCCAUGGGUGGCCUUGAGAGCAGGAGAAAGAAGAAAUAAACAAUGAGGGUGGCUAAUGGAUGCAAGAGCAGUCAACAGAAUUCACUGGAAAGCAGGAGACCAACUGAGAGUAGCAGCUGAAACUAGGGAGAGUUCUGCCCUCCCCAACCCUGGGUAACUCAGCAAUCUGAAACACACAAUUCCCUGUUUUACCCUAAUUGCAUAAGGACUUUGCAGACUAUAUGGGAGCCCAGAUGGCAUUCUUCAGGAAUUCUAUAGGAGGGUGGCACCGGCCUCAGGAGGAGCAGACACUUUCCUGGUUAGCAGUAAGGCAGGGCAGUGUUGGCUCCACAGCCCAGAGAUGGCUGGGCACCUCCUAAAGAAAAUGGCCACCUCUCCACCCUCAAGGAGACCACCUGGACUAGAAAGGAACUGACUCCCCAGAGCACCGUGUGCCCUGGAGCAGCCACUGAACCUUCACCUCAGCUGUGAGAUGGCAGCAAGGCUGCACUGCAUCACGGGUCUUUUUCUUUAUUUCUGAGUGAUAGCAGUGACAUAACUUAGUAUGCCAUAAAGAGAUGAACCACCUUGCACGUGCCUCGGUUCCUGAUGUGCCACCAUGUUUGUCUAUUCCAUAAAACAAACCAAAGCAUUUAUUGCAUGACACCAUGUUCUAAACACUUUUAAAAUGUUCAUACAUAUAAUCCUCACAACACUA
Molecule: long non-coding RNA, 1057 nt
Organism: Symphalangus syndactylus (siamang)
Lineage: Eukaryota; Metazoa; Chordata; Mammalia; Primates; Hylobatidae
Source: RefSeq, a predicted model, not a curated record